RNAcentral lists this transfer RNA (60 nucleotides) under Pachypsylla venusta (hackberry petiole gall psyllid). RNAcentral's name for it is "tRNA-Gly". Lineage: Eukaryota; Metazoa; Arthropoda; Insecta; Hemiptera; Aphalaridae. The record is from RNAcentral.
AUCUUAUUAGUAUAAUUAAUACAAUUAGCUUCCAACUAACUAAUCCCAAAGGAUAAGAUA